This is a long non-coding RNA of Mytilus californianus (California mussel), 630 nucleotides long. RefSeq lists it as uncharacterized. The record is from RefSeq and is a predicted model, not a curated record. The transcript has 4 exons. NCBI's taxonomy places the organism in Eukaryota, Metazoa, Mollusca, Bivalvia, Mytilida, Mytilidae.
UCUAUCAUCAGGUACCCCUCACAACAUACAAUCUAUCAUCAGGUACCCCUCACAACGUACAAUCUAUCAUCAGGUACCCCUCACAACGUACAAUCUAUCAUCAGGUACCCCUCACAAUGUACAAUCUAUCAUCAGUAGUACAGAUCAAGUGGUUGUAAACUGUACCCCUCACAACGUACAAUCUAUCAUCAGGUACCCCUCACAAUGUACAAUCUAUCAUCAGUAGUACAGAUCAAGUGGUUGUAAACUGAACCCCUCACAACGUACAAUCUACCAUCAGUAGUACAGAUCAAGUGGUUGUAAACUGAACCCCUCACAACGUACAAUCUAUCAUCACGAACCCCUCACAACGUACAAUCUAUCAUCUGCAGUACAGAUCAAGUGGUUGUAAACUGAACCCCUCACAACGUACAAUCUAUCAUCAGGUACCCCUCACAAGGUACAAUCUAUCAUCUGGAACCCCUCACAACGUACAAUCUAUCAUCAUGUACCCCUCACAACGUGCAAUCUAUCAUCAGCAGUACAGAUCAAGCGGUUGUAAACUGUACCCCUCACAACGUACAAUCUAUCAACAGGUACCCCUCACAACGUACAAUCCAUCGUCAGCAGGACAGAUCAAGAGGUUGUAAA